CUGACUGCUAUCGGAUUGGUACUAAGCCAUGUGAGUCGUUGUAGCAAUACAAGGCAUACGGCUCAGUAACACGUAGUCAAUCUAACCUAUGGACGGGGAUAACCUCGGGAAACUGAGGAUAAACCCCGAUAGAUCAUAAUGCCUGGAACGGUUUAUGGUUCAAAUGAUUCGUCGCCGUAGGGUGGGACUGCGGCCUAUCAGCUUGUUGGUGAGGUAAUGGCCCACCAAGGCUAUUACAGGUACGGGCUCUGAGAGGAGUAGCCCGGAGAUGGGUACUGAGACACGGACUCAGGCCCUAUGGGGCGCAGCAGGCGAGAAACCUUUGCAAUGUGCGCAAGCACGACAAGGUUAAUCCGAGUGAUUCCUGCUUAAGGAAUCUUUUGUUAGUCGUAAAACCACUAUUGAAUAAGGGGUGGGCAAGUUCUGGUGUCGGCCGCCGCGGUAAAACCAGCACCUCAAGUGGUCAGGAUGAUUAUUGGGCCUAAAGCAUCCGUAGCCUGUUCUGUAAGUUUCCGGUUAAAUCCAUUAACUCAACUAAUGGGCUACCGAGAAUACUGCAGAACUAGGGAGUGGGAGAGGUAGACGGUACUCGGUAGGAAGGGGUAAAAUCCUUUGAUCUAUUGAUGACCACCUGUGGCGAAGGCGGUCUACCAGAACACGUUCGACGGUGAGGGAUGAAAGCUGGGGGAGCAAACCGGAUUAGAUACCCGGGUAGUCCCAGCUGUAAACGAUGCAAACUCGGUGAUGCCCUGGCUUGUGGCCAGUGCAGUGCCGCAGGGAAGCCGUUAAGUUUGUCGCCUGGGAAGUACGUACGCAAGUAUGAAACUUAAAGGAAUUGGCGGGGGAGCACCACAAGGGGUGAAGCCUGCGGUUC
Molecule: ribosomal RNA, 874 nt
Filed under: uncultured archaeon
Lineage: Archaea
Description: bacterial SSU rRNA
Rfam family: Archaeal small subunit ribosomal RNA
Source: RNAcentral